AUGAUUGGAUCCGAAUGAUAUAAUUCACUGAUUGUUUUCACAAUAAAUUGUUGACAUAAUUUAUUUUAUUUCUAAUCAAAUUAAGUGCCAAUAUUUAUGUUCAUCAAUUGCAGAGGAAAACAACAACAACAACAUAACGAAAACAAGUUGUCCAAACCUCUCAUUGAUUAGUUAAUUGCUUCAGGCUUAAUAAUUUGAAUUUAAUUUUUUUUCCAUUUUGAUCAACCCAAUUCCCUAAAGUGAUUGUUAAAUGUAUCUCAUUAUUAGUGAAAAGAAUAUUAAAUUGUAACAAUUUAAUUGGAUAGAGAAAAGAAAUAAAAAACAAACUCAUCUAUACUCUUAGGCUUUUGUCUCCAAUUAAAGAAUUUGAUUGUAAUCAUUAGUGGAAUCCAUUCGGUACCAUGAGCUGGUUAAUUCUCCUAAUUUAACCGGUGAAAUGGUUAAGUGAUUAAUGGAUCAAAAGUCACAAAUAGUUCCAUGUAUAUAUUGAAUUAAAUAAUAGAAUGAUUUGGAUUCCAAGAGAAGGGAAGAUUUAACCUGGAAAACGAUUUAAUCGGUUCAACGGUUUACACAAAAUGAAUUGAGAAAAAAAGUCGAAAAAGAUUGGGAUCGAGAAAGAAAUUCAAAUACAUUCACAUUGGAGGUGAAAGUUUAGAAUUGAGUCAAUGGAAAUGUUAAAAUAAUCCAUUGAUUUAAGUUUGAUUUUCGUUCAAUUCAAUCUAAGGUAAAUAACCAUUGGUGACUUGGUGAUGGUUUCAAAGACAAUGGAGCUGUAAUGGUCAGUGGAAAAUGGAUCAAGUCCAUCAGAGGACUGAACAUGAAUUCGCCAUGAAAAAAGUGACAUCACCAUGGGGAUGUAAGAAGAUGGAGAUGGAGACAAAGGAGAGGAACCAUGAAGCAUGAUUAAAGCCUUUGGGUUUUAAAAUAUCCAUGUUAUUAUUAUAUCCAUGGGGUGGGAAAAGAUGAUGAUGAGAGAGAGAGAAUCAUCCAAGUCCAUUGAGAAUUGUUGAGCCAUGAAUCGUGUCUUGAAAUUGGAGUAAAUUCUUUUAUCAUUUUUCUUCUCAUUCUUUCCUCAUAUCGAAACUUAUCCACCUUCAAUUUCAUGAGGAAGAAGAGGAGAAAAAAUUGACAACCUAAUAUCUUCACAAUGAGAAAAAAAAUCUCAUUGAAUAAGAUGAAGAGAUGAUGAUGAUGAUGAUGAACAAAGAUGCUGCCUGGAAGAGGAAGAGGAUAUUCAGGAAGUAGAAGCAAAGAACAAGUUGAUCAACAUGGAGUUGAUAAUGUCUUUUAAGAAGAAUGGAGAAAAAAUCUUACCUCAUCUUCACCAUUAUCUUUAUCAUCAUCAUCACCUGAAAGAAAGAAAAAAAGUUCCAUGUUUAUCUUUGUAAUUUUUUCUUCUUCAUCAUCUUCUUUUAUCUCCCUGAAUGAUGAUACUGAUUCUGUCACAUGUCAACACAACAUCAAUGAGGUUUAUAAGUAACAUUGUUUUCUAACACAAUUUAAACACAUUCUCACUUAUAUUUGCUUAUUAUUAUUCCCUACACUUCACCCACCCAUACCCACUCCUUUAGAUUCAGAGCUGAGCGUUUCAAUCCAUGUGAUUCGAAAGAUAUUACGAGAAAAAAAAGAUGGAGGAAGAAGAUAAUAUGUGAACAGGGAAUAAUUCUUGGAAUACCUAAAGAAAAAGAUAGUAAUUACCCUGGAAAUUGAGUAUAUUCUGUGUAUAUAUUCAUGUGGAAUUGCUUGUUAUCCUUUUCUCUCUCUCUCUCCAUCACAAAAAAAGAGGCUCAAGAGGAUGAAAAGGAAGAUGAAGAAAAAAAUGCUUCCAAGACAAGAGAUGGAAGAAUUUAUCUUCCCAUGUAAUAUAUAUAAUUCUUGUUGCACUUUUUAAUAUUGAAAAGUUUCAUGGAAGAAAAUAUAUCGAAUAUAUAUUUUAUUCCUAAGAUUUUUCAUUUCAACUUCUCAACUAUCAGUCUACAGAAUCAUUGAAAGAAGAUACAAAUUUGCUGUUUCCAUGGAUGAGGAACAGGAGGAAGAUGAGGAUGACAAAUGUAUCCAAACAUGAUGACGAUUUAUGCAAAAAAAACUGUUUACAGUUAUUUCAACAUGAGAAAUGAGAUUUUUACUGAACAUAUCAAGAGAUUGGAUUGCAAUUGCUUAUUGCCUGUUAUUCAAUUGAAGAUCUUCAUUAAUUCCUCAUAAUCAUCAUUCAUGAUGUUUAUUAUCCAUGUGAGGAUUUACUGUUAUUUCAAAUUGCCUUGAAAUUUACAUUUCACGAAGAGGAGGUGAUACUGGAAGGUGGAAAGAUACAAGGCUCGAGAAUCAAAAAGGUUAUUUCUUUAUGGAAACCAAGGCCCGGAAGUCAUGUAGUGAUAAAUCAACACACCUUAAUAGUGAAAGAAGCAGAGGAAAGAAAAUAAGAGGAACCAUGAAAAGUCAAACAACAGAAUUGGGAAUAUAUGGAAUGAAGAAGCAGCCGAGAAGGAGGAAGAAGUAAAAAGAGAUAUUCGAAUGAAAGAAAAAAAGAAAGAGGAAGAGAGAGAGAAAAAUAGAAAGAAGUGAAGAUGAUAUAACAUGAGGGAGGAAAAGUCAUGGUAAAAAUAUCGAUCGGACUGUUGAAUUACCUUCUCUUCCAUGUAGAGAAAUCAGAUAACAAUGAAGCGAAGCAAAAUAUUUGCUAUUCAUUGGUUUUCUCUUUCUUUCCUUUCAUCAUCAUCAUCAUCUUUCUCUUUCUUUUCUCAACUUUUAUCUCUGUUAUUUUAUUUUUUUUUAUUCUUCAAUGAAGAAAAGAGUAAAAUCAAUUUUGAGUGAUUUCCUUUAUCAUUUCAUUCAUUCAAUCUUCCUUUUCUCUCUUUAUCAUCACUCACGAUCAUCAUCAUCAUCUUUACCUUUCUCUCUCUCUCUCACUCUACCUUAGUAAAUAUAAUAUUAUUUUGCUAUGUGACUCGAAUCAGCAAAAUGUUAACAACUUUAUCUCAUGUUGUUGUCGCCAUCAAAUGGAUUCUUAACUCGACUAAGCUUAUCAACAACAUCGACAACAAUAAUAACAACACAACAAAUAAUUCAAUCGCCAUUUAAACUUGAACAUGAGAUUCAAUAUAUUCAACUGAAUGAAACGAUGAAAUUAUUGAAACAACUUCAACAGACAAAUAAAACUUGAUCAUAUUGAUACAUUAUCAGGAGAAGGAGAUGAUAAUAGGAGUGAGAAGAUGACAAAUAUCCAUGGAGAUGUUAUCGAAAUAAGGAUUUUGCUUGUUGAUCCCAUUGGACUUUUUAAAUCCCUCUAGAAGGAUGAGGAUGGAGAAUGAGGAAUGAUAAUGAUGAGAGAGAGAGAGAGAGAGAAGAGAUGAAGUAAAUAGAGAAGAAUAAAAAUAACGGCAGGUUAAUCUUCUUUACUUUUUUCAUCUUCAUCUUCUUCUCAUCAUCAAUAUUAUCUUCUCCACACUGAUCAUCAUCAUCAUCAUCGUCAUUCUUUUCCUUCCACUUGCCACCUUCAUGGAGAAAACCUUUACCUUUUAGAUUGAAGGGAGAAGAUGACAAAAGGAAAAGGAUGAUGAUGAUAAUAUUUCAAAUCUUGAGAUAAAAUUGAUCCUCUUGUUAGUUUAACAUAUAAACUUAAAUUGUCAAUUUUGCUCCUUAAAUUGAUACCAGGUAAAUAUUAACUCCAAAGAAAAGAUAAUCCAAAAGUAUAACAAUUCAUUUCCAUCAUUUUGAAAAAUCGUCUUAAUCUUUUAUCAUCUUGACGAUAAGUUGAAUAAUUUUUCAUUCUUCUUCUUAAAACUUAUUGAAAUUCAUUAUUAUUCCUCUUAAGAU
Molecule: long non-coding RNA, 3813 nt
Organism: Panonychus citri (citrus red mite)
Lineage: Eukaryota; Metazoa; Arthropoda; Arachnida; Trombidiformes; Tetranychidae
Exons: 4
Source: RefSeq, a predicted model, not a curated record